RNAcentral lists this ribosomal RNA (413 nucleotides) under uncultured Chloroflexota bacterium. RNAcentral's name for it is "bacterial SSU rRNA". It matches the Rfam family "Bacterial small subunit ribosomal RNA", at positions 958 to 1385 of the family's 1533-position model. The record is from RNAcentral. Lineage: Bacteria; Bacillati; Chloroflexota.
AACGCGAAGAACCUUACCUCGGCUUGACAUGCACGUGGUACUGACCCGUAAGGGAAGGGACCCGCGAGGGAGCGUGCACAGAUGCUGCAUGGCUGUCGUCAGCUCGUGCCGUGAGGUGUUGGGUUAAGUCCCGCAACGAGCGCAACCCUUGUCCUUAGUUGCCUUCUCUAAGGAGACCGCCGGUCUAAACCGGAGGAAGGUGGGGAUGACGUCAAGUCAGCACGGCUCUUACGUCGAGGGCUACACACACGCUACAAUGGCCGGUACAACGGGCUGCCAAGGGGCGACCUGGAGCUAAUCCCACCAAAGCCGGUCUCAGUUCGGAUCGCAGGCUGCAACUCGCCUGCGUGAAGUCGGAGUUGCUAGUAACUGCUGGUCAGCACACAGCAGUGAAUACGUUCCCGGGCCUUGUA